GACGAACGCUGGCGGCGUGCUUAACACAUGCAAGUCGAACGGAAAGGCCCUGCUUUUGUGGGGUGCUCGAGUGGCGAACGGGUGAGUAACACGUGAGUAACCUGCCCUUGACUUUGGGAUAACUUCAGGAAACUGGGGCUAAUACCGGAUAGGAGCUCCUGCUGCAUGGUGGGGGUUGGAAAGUUUCGGCGGUUGGGGAUGGACUCGCGGCUUAUCAGCUUGUUGGUGGGGUAGUGGCUUACCAAGGCUUUGACGGGUAGCCGGCCUGAGAGGGUGACCGGCCACAAUGGGACUGAGAUACGGCGCAGACUGCAACGGGAGGCAGCAGUGGGGAAUAUUGCACAAUGGGCGGAAGCCUGAUGCAGCAACGCCGCGUGCGGGAUGACGGCCUUCGGGUUGUAAACAGAUUUCGCCUGUGACGAAGCGUGAGUGACGGUAAUGGGUAAAGAAGCACCGGCUAACUACGUG
RNAcentral lists this ribosomal RNA (468 nucleotides) under uncultured bacterium. RNAcentral's name for it is "partial 16S ribosomal RNA". It matches the Rfam family "Bacterial small subunit ribosomal RNA", at positions 28 to 507 of the family's 1533-position model. The record is from RNAcentral.